Molecule: long non-coding RNA, 430 nt
Organism: Ruditapes philippinarum (Manila clam)
Lineage: Eukaryota; Metazoa; Mollusca; Bivalvia; Venerida; Veneridae
Exons: 3
Source: RefSeq, a predicted model, not a curated record
UCAGAUUUGACAAAUGAGAGUCUUUCUGAAUUCGCAUCUUAUGCAAGGUACGGAAUCAUCGCAUUGGCUUCGAUAAUAUUGCUCAUUGAGGUACUAGAAAUGAAACAAAUGUUCUCCUGGAAAGUAUGGUUUUACUUUUUUGAAAUUGAAAAUGUUUUUGAAUGGAUAACGUGCAUCACUGCGAUUAUAUUUGUUGUCAAUACAAGUGACUGUAGCGAUUCACAAUAUAGACCGCAAUGGCAAUGGACUUGCGGAACGGUAUCCGUUUUCCUCGCUUGGAUCAAUAUGUUAUUUAUCAUUCAGAAAUUCGAAUGGUUAGGUAUAUAUGUAGUUAUGUUGUACCGGAUCAUCAAGGUGUUUAUGAAGUUUCUCCUUGUGUUUUCACUCCUGAUAAUUGCAUUUGCCAUCUCGUUCCACUGCUUGUUUCAAA